GGGGCGGGGGGGGAGUGCCUGACAAUAGUUUACUCCGGAAACUCCUGUUUGAAUGCUAGGCUACCUAUAUCUGUAGACCCCAGAGGGCAGCCAUUAAAUAAUUAGGCACUUAGGGAUGGAGAAUUGUCUCAAAGACCAAACAACAAGUUACUUAAGACUCUUCUGGCAGACCAGAGGACCUUGAGGAUUGAGGAGACCUCUCGUCCUAUCUUGAAUUGUUCCAAAGGACGGAAGGAGGACUGGAUCCGGGCUCUGGCUUGCCUCAUUGCCCCCAAACACAUUCCCAGAAACGCUCCCCAGGGCCGAACCAAGAACUCAAGUGUCUAACCCACAGCGUCAGCUCUCAGGUUCAAGUUCAAGUCCUCCGGCGUACAUCGGGGCUUCCUUGUCUGCUGUUAAAUUUUAUGUGGAAAUGAAGCCGAAAAUAAUGUCCUGAGAUGUGGAUGAAGAGUGCUGUAACGAAACAUUGUACCAAAACGAAGACUGUGCUGUACGCGCCCCUCAGACAACUACUCUCCUGCAGGCGAGGAUUGUCACCCGGGGGGAGUGUGGCAGGAGUGCCGUCACAGUGGCAGAAGGAGAAGGAGAGAGAAAACGAAACCUGGGAAAUUGCCCGCGCUCACUUUUUCUCCUCCCCGGACCUGAGUUCAAGAGCCUGUCUCGGAGUCGGGCAGUCUCCGGUUGGGAAGGCCCUCGAUCAUGACUUUUUCGUCCCGACCUGUGCAGAUCCCCCACCUCUACCCAUCUCCAGCUGACACGUUUGCUCUGAGAAGGGAUUGGUGAAUAUCGCCCUCUCCCGGAUCUCCGGAAAUUCUCCCCAGCGCGCUGCAUCCGCUUCUUCCCAAGCUCGGAGCGCCGCACACGCAGCGGGGCGGGACCUUCAGCUCAGGGCGACGGUGUCCUCGGUCCCCUCCCCGAGGGCCGAGGCCUCCAGAGCCCCAGAUCCGGGACCCAGGCCCUGAGCCGGAUCUGAGGAGCGCACUGGGCCCGAGCCCCUGCUGGAGCCCGGAGCUCGGCCGGGGAGAGAGCUCAGCCACACGCGCCCCCGGCUAUGGCCCGGACCCCGCUCGGCUCUGCCGCUGAGUCCGCGCGCGGGGGAAAGCCCGCAGACCUUCCAGGACUUGCGGAUUGCCAGCCCCGAAUCCCUAAAGAGCUCGGCCCCGAGAGUCUCCUUGUGGUGUUUGGUGGCCGCCGCGAGCGGGCUUGGCGUCCCCCACGGCAGAGGGGAGGUCGAGGGGGAACUGGUUCCCGGUUCACCCUUCAUCUCCUACCAGUCACCAGCCGAGGCCCUGCCCCGUGCUCGCAUGGAGGCACCGAGAUAGCCCUGGCCCAGCAAAUGGCUCCUGGGUCGUCCUGGCGGGAGCGGGCCCAGGGCGAGGCGCGCAGGUGAGGUGCCAGGCUCGGGGCGCCCAGCCAGCGGCGCUUGGGGGCACCGGCUCGCUCCACCUGGCGUCCGCGCGGCCGGAGUGCCGCUGCGGCAGGCGGGCAGCGGCGGCGCAGCGACGGGCUGUGGCGCCACCUCCCGAGAAGACCUAGCAGGAAGCGCGGCUCCGCAGGUGGCCCGCGGCGCGCGCCUUCCGGGUGGCCGGAGUGCCCCUCGGCCAGCGAUUUGCCCUCUCAACGCCCCGAAACACCUCCAGAAAUGCCUGUGGCAGCAAUUACUACGCCGAUGGUCGCUGUCCUCCCCAAGUGAUGAAAGGGAGGUCCUAGCACCCCAGGAAGAUCUUGUGCCCCUGCCUGGGGAAGGCGAAAAGGCUGCAGCGGCCCUGGGACGCGAUGGCCUUGUGUCGGCUAUCAAGGGAUCUCGGACCCCCCUCACGUACGUGAAAACCGGUCCCCAAGAGUCCAGCAAGGAGAAGUAGGAGGAGGUGACUGGAGGGGAGAGGUGUUUGUGGCCCCCAAGGUAGGCUCCAGGUUGCAGUGGAGUCAAGCCGUCGGCAAGGGAUCCAGCUCUGCUCCUCAGACUCGAGCAGAGCAGCCUGUCUGCGGCCACCUCCACUCCCUCUCCGAGGACGCACCCGGCCACUCUCUGCACCACCGCGGGCGAUAGACAGAUUGUCCCCUCCGUUCCUGCCAACCAGCCCCUCACCACCCAGACCACAUCUCCCCGGACUUACUAUGUGUUGCUGCUUCCAGCUAUGUGACUUUACUCACACUAAUUCCCAGAAGACCAAGCAUUCGUACGGAUAACAUGAAAGGGUGUGGACGUGGACCAGGCACAUGGAACUCAGCCCUCUGGACACACGGGAAGCUUUUAAGAAGACACAGCACCCAAGCUCUAUCUUCAAGGGUGAGGAGUAUGCCAGACAUAAGACCUGAGAGGACAGCGGUCUACACAGAGGGAACAUCCUGGAGGGAAUGGCACACAGCAGAGCUUAAAAUAAAGCAGCACAGAGACAGCUGUGGUCCAGCUGCCCGCCCUGUCGGUGGCAAUCGCCUCCCUGGUCAGGUUCAUCUCUGAACACCUGGUUGGGACAUGAGGCAAAUGCAUUUGUUUCCAAUUCAUCUGGCUCUGUUCUUACACGAUGUUUCACAUGUGCUGAAGAGAGAGAACUUUUACUGCGAGAUGCUCUGGCUGACCUGCGAGGGCUCGAAUGCUGCUCCAGAGACUCACACGCUGGGAGGAAGGAAUCCUGAAGCAUAGAGACUGAGCGGCUGCAGACCCAGAAAGGAAAAUGUCAGGCUGGGGAGGCUGAGCCUCUCUCUCUCCAUCAAGUGCAGUGAGAGCCUGUGCAUUUCGAGCAGAGGUUUGAGAGUCACAGCAGCAAGUAGGCUUGAAGCCAAUAAUCAGAAAGUGGACGGUCUGGUAAUGUGUUGAAGGAAAUCUCUAUAGGCAACUUUUUACUCACUCUGUUAGAAGAAAAGCUCCUUCAGGGAAUAGUAAUGCAGGUGUGCUGAAGGAAUGAGAACCCCAGCUUAGGAAAACCUGGGCUCCACGUCAGACUCUGUGAGAUGCCGGGCAAGUCACCCAACCACUCUCUGUGCCUCAGUUUCUUCUUCUGUGAACUAGACAAAGUUCACUUCAGCUCUGUGACCCAUGAUCCUACACUUAUGCCCAGCUCCCCGCUGGCUACAGAAGUUUGAAACUCAACCUCUCCACAUGUACCCUCUUCCCUAAGAUUCGUUAUUAUCACAGCACCAGUUGCCACGAUGAAUUGAGCACCUGCAAACUGUGGGCGAGCACCGUGCUGGCACUUUACAUAAACUAUCCUGCUAAUCCUCACAACACCUGGAUGAAUUAUUGUUUUCAUUUUAUAGAUGAGGAAACUGUGGCUCCAAGAAACUACAAAAGUUGACCCAGCUCACUCAGGUGUCGUUGGGAGAGUCAGACGUCAAACUCAGAUCUGAUUCAGUUUCUGAUCCCCAAAUCUGGUGCAUAUUGGAAAGAAAAAUCAGGUGUCUCCUC
This 3406-nucleotide long non-coding RNA is filed under the name Equus caballus (horse). Its description in RNAcentral is "lncRNA (ENSECAG00000038147.3)". Lineage: Eukaryota; Metazoa; Chordata; Mammalia; Perissodactyla; Equidae. The record is from RNAcentral.